AAUAUAAACAAUAUUUUAAAUGUAGUAUUUAGAAAAGAAUAUCUUAGGUCAUAAGGUGAGCAAUUUGAGACAAAGAUUCAAAACAUAAUUUCUGUUAAAAUACUAUUUAGUUUUUUGAUUCAUGCCCAAGUUUUGAAGUUAUAGUUUGUGUUUGUUGUUUUAACUCUUUGUGCGUAUAUUAGGCGCGUUUCCUAAACAGCUAAGUAUCCAUGGCACAAAUUAGACUUUGAUAUUGGUUUAAAAGGUGCCAGGUGUAAAUGAGAAAGAGUAUCUAGACAUUUUAU
Molecule: non-coding RNA, 284 nt
Organism: Cinara cedri
Lineage: Eukaryota; Metazoa; Arthropoda; Insecta; Hemiptera; Aphididae
Source: the annotation of a GenBank genome assembly